GGGGAUUUAGCUCAGUGGCAUGAGCCCCUGCCUUGCAAGCAGGUGGUCAUGAGUUCGAUCCUCGGAACCGCUU
Cavia porcellus (domestic guinea pig) is the source of this 73-nucleotide transfer RNA. It matches the Rfam family "tRNA". From Rfam's summary of the family: Transfer RNA (tRNA) molecules are approximately 80 nucleotides in length. The record is from Rfam. Lineage: Eukaryota; Metazoa; Chordata; Mammalia; Rodentia; Caviidae.